RNAcentral lists this ribosomal RNA (832 nucleotides) under Hydnobolites sp. 11 RH-2012. Its description in RNAcentral is "eukaryotic LSU rRNA". It matches the Rfam family "Eukaryotic large subunit ribosomal RNA", at positions 14 to 866 of the family's 3401-position model. Lineage: Eukaryota; Fungi; Ascomycota; Pezizomycetes; Pezizales; Pezizaceae. The record is from RNAcentral.
GGGUAGGGAUACCCGCUGAACUUAAGCAUAUCAAUAAGCGGAGGAAAAGAAACCAACAGGGAUUGCCUCAGUAACGGCGAGUGAAGCGGCAAAAGCUCAGAUUUGAAAGCUAUCAUCUUAGAUGUUCGCAUUGUAAUCUGUAGAGGAGUGUUCAGGCAUAGCUUUGACCCAAGUUCUUUGGAACAGGACGUCAUGGAGGGUGAGAAUCCCGUUCAUGGUUGUUGUCUUAUGCUUAUGUGAACCUCCUUCAAUGAGUCGAGUUGUUUGGGAAUGCAGCUCUAAAUGGGUGGUAUAUUUCAUCUAAAGCUAAAUAUCAGCAGGAGACCGAUAGUGCACAAGUAGAGUGAUCGAAAGAUGAAAAGAACUUUGGAAAGAGAGUCAAACAGUACGUGAAAUUGUUGAAAGGGAAGCACUUGCACCCAGACUUGCUNACAGUUGAUCAAUUAUCAUUUUUGAUGGUGCACUCAAUUAUGAGCAGGCCAGUAUCAGUUAGAGUGGUGGGGCAAAGGUGUUGAGAAUGUAGCUCCUUCGGGAGUGUUAUAUCUCUUCAUGUAAUGUCAUCUGCUCUGACUGAGGUUCGCACUUUGGUGAGGAUGCUGGCUUAAUGGGUGCAAGUGACCCGUCUUGAAACACGGACCAAGGAGUCUNACAGUUGUGCAAGUGUUUGGGUAGAAAACCCUUAUGCGUAAUGAAAGUAAAUGGAGGUGAGAACCGUAAGGUGCAUCAUCGACCGAUCCUGAUGUCUUCAGAUGGAUUUGAGUAAGAGCAUAGCUGUUGGGACCCGAAAGAUGGUGAACUAUGCCUGAAUAGGGUGAAGCCAGAGGAAACUCUG